RNAcentral lists this long non-coding RNA (429 nucleotides) under Jatropha curcas. Its description in RNAcentral is "long non-coding RNA (JCUR_LNC000709)". The record is from RNAcentral. Lineage: Eukaryota; Viridiplantae; Streptophyta; Magnoliopsida; Malpighiales; Euphorbiaceae.
CUUAUGCCUCAGCUCCUCCACCGGUCCGUGAAGUCGACCUCUCCCCCGGACUGUACUCCAACCACCAUUCAAACCCGUAACUUGUUUUUUCGAUUUCUUAGUAUUCUUCAAUACUUUUUCCAUAUCUUUUAUUAGAUUCACAAGAGUCGUCCAUGGAAACUUUGGGUAUCUAAUUCCUUCUUAUUCUUCUUCCUCAACUACUAUCGCCAUUGGUGGAGCCACCAAAACCAGUUUUCAGGCAUGUAGUAUAGGUAACUCAUGUUGUUGUAAGAUGGCUAUGAAUAGUGAAGAAUCUUGAUGAAAUGUACUUGUAAAUGUAGAGUAACUAAAAGAAAAUAGUAUCUCUUGUAGGCAAAUUGGCAAGAACUAAUAUGGAUUAUAAGGCAGGAAAUGAGUUUCUCAAUUUUAGAAUUUAGAACAACAUUGUAU